Molecule: long non-coding RNA, 968 nt
Filed under: Chrysemys picta bellii (western painted turtle)
Lineage: Eukaryota; Metazoa; Chordata; Testudines; Emydidae
Description: lncRNA (ENSCPBG00000028282.1)
Source: RNAcentral
CUAAUGCCAGCUCUCUCAAUGAGUUAUGUAGCUGUGGACAAUUCACUUAACCUCUGCCUCAGUUUCUAACAGUUAGGGUAAUAAUCACCUAUCAACAUCACAGAGGAUUAAUUGGUGCUUUGGACAUGUAAUUAUUGUUGCAGGCCCUAUGCUCAAAUAUCACAAAGAAGGGCAUAAGAAGCACUGAACAGAAUAUGAAGGCAAAAUUCCUGUUGACUUCCAUGUUUAUCUGCACCAGAGGAAUUGGAGCAGAAUUGCAGACCAACAAAUGAAGUGAGCUGAAGGCAAUUUGACCAAUGUUUUCUGUGUGAAUUCCACAGAGGCUGAUGAAGCAUGUUAUCAGGUCUCCAAGGUCCAGUGUCAAUACAUUAUGAAGAUGUGGCAUUUGAGAGGGUUUUCUUUUACAUGGAGGAACACCAUGGAGAAUGGAACAGAAGAACAGGUAAACUGGUUUUAAAAGGGAAUAAAAAGGAGCCAAUAAUUAUGCCUCACUCUGCUUGCAAAUCAUGUUCAGGACCUCAUAUGGUGUGAACUGGCCUAGCUCUAUUGAUACCAAUAGAGCUAUGCCAAUUUAUAGUAGCUGAGGAUCUGUCUUAAUACCAUUUUUAGACACUGGCACUGGAAUUCACACUUUAGUGUCAAAAUUGAAAAACUUUGAAAAUGCACUACCUUUCUUCCUAUCCCCGAGUAACUGAAGGCUUGCUGACUGUGGCAGAUUAAUGGAAGUAGCCAAUAACUGUGUACAAGUUAUAGUUUGACACACAAGCAGAACAAUGUGGUUUUGCCCCUUGCUUCUAGACAAAUGAAUAUUUAUAUGCAAGACCUAAUUUUCCCUCUAGUAACAAUUUAAUAACAUCAAGGGGAUGCUAUUAACUGUUAAAUGUUGUCAGUGCAAGUUAAAGAUGCUGUAAGCCACUCAAAGCAUUUACCACCGAGCUACAUUAACAUAAUCUUUCAAUCAGUGCAGA